RNAcentral lists this transfer RNA (18 nucleotides) under Pseudacris cadaverina (California treefrog). RNAcentral describes it as "partial tRNA-Glu". The record is from RNAcentral. Lineage: Eukaryota; Metazoa; Chordata; Amphibia; Anura; Hylidae.
UAGUUUUUGUAGUUAAAA